AGGUUCGAGAAGCUGGACAUCACGCCCAAGAGCGCGCAGAAGCUGAAGCCGGUGCUGGAGAAGUGGCUGCGGGAGGCGGAGCAGCGGCAGCGCGAGGGGCAGCAGCACCUGCUGGAGUUCGUGGGCGGCGAGCCGGGCAAGAAGCGCAAGCGCCGCACCUCGUUCACGCCGCAGGCGCUGGAGGCGCUCAACGCGCACUUCGAGCGCAACGCGCUGCCCACGGGCGCGGAGAUCACGCGCAUCGCGCAGGAGCUGCGCUACGAGCGGGAGGUGGUGCGGGUGUGGUUCUGCAACCGCCGCCAGACGCUCAAGAACACCAGCAAGCUGAACGUGUUCCAUGUGCCCUGAGGGCCGCGCCCGGCCCGGCUCUGCCCCGCCGACACCGACACCGGGACCGGACCGGACCGGGUACAGCAGCGCCCGGGGCGCCGGGCUGGGAGCGCUGGGAGCGCCCGCGGGUCCGUCCCGGCUCCUGCCACAGCACUUUGGGCACUGCUCUGUCCCUCUGCAGCCUGGUUCUGUCACCGCACCUGUCCCUGUGCCACCUGGUUCUGUCACUGCACCUGUCCCUGUGCCACCUGGUUCUGUCACCGCACCUGUCCCUGUGCCACCUGGUUCUGUCACCACAUCUGUACCUGUGUCACCUAUUCCAUCACCACAUCUGUCCCUGUGUCAGGUGGUUCCACCACCACACCUGCACCUGUGUCACCUGGUUCUGUCACCACACCUGCACCUGUGUCACCUGGUUCUGUCACCACAUCUGUCCCUCUGCCACCUGGUUCUGUCCCAACAUCUGUACCUGUGUCACCUGUUCCAUCAUACCUGUGUCACCUGUUCCAUCAACACACCUGUGCCUGUGUCACCUGGUUCUGUCACCACACCUGUCCCUGUGUCACCUGGUUCUGUCACCACAUCUGUACCUCUGUCCACCAUGACUGUAUCUGUGUUCAUCCCCACUCUGCCCCUCAGCAAAUACCAAGCUGGGAGCGCCCCCGGCUCCUGCCACAGCACUUUGGGCACUGCUCUGGCCCUCUCCCACCUGGUUCUGUCACCGCACCUAUCCCUGUGUCACCUGUUCCACCACCACGGCUGUCCCUGUGUCACCUGGUUCCAUCACCACACCUGUGCCUGUGUCCACCAUGCCUGUACCCAUGUCCAGCACACCUGUAGCUGUGCCCAGGUCCUUACCUGUGUCCACCAUGCCCAUACCUGUGUCCAUCACACCUGUACCCAUGUCCACCAUGCCUGUAGCUGCAUCUACCACACCUGUACCUGUGUCCACCUGUGCCCACCUGUGCCUGUGUGUGCCCCCCGGUCCCUCCUCUCACACACGACCCUACCUGUGACACAUAUGGUGACAGACCCCCCCGAGUGUCACCCACCCACCCACAAUCAGCGAUUUCUAUUUUCCUGGGUUUUGCCCUUUUCCCUGUGUUUCUGAGGCGAUGUUACGGCUCACCGGGGGUGACCCCAAAUUUAUGUCACCCGCAUGUUGCGGGUCCCCCGCCUCGUGAGGGGCUUCUGGGGGUGAUCCCCCACCUUGGGGACGUCCCGUGGGUGGAUUCUGGGGACAUCUCCGCCGGGUUUGGGGGGCGUGAACCCCAAAGCAGAGGCAGCGCCCCCUCCCCAGCCGCCCCUGCCCUGAGCGAUUGGGGGAGACACGGGGGCGCCCGCUGGGGCCGCGGCAGACUGAUGCACUUGAUGUAGUGGUGUGAAAUAAACAGUAUUUUUCUUUUUUCUUUUCCUUUUCC
Molecule: long non-coding RNA, 1751 nt
Organism: Junco hyemalis (dark-eyed junco)
Lineage: Eukaryota; Metazoa; Chordata; Aves; Passeriformes; Passerellidae
Source: Ensembl